RNAcentral lists this ribosomal RNA (497 nucleotides) under uncultured bacterium. RNAcentral's name for it is "partial 16S ribosomal RNA". It matches the Rfam family "Bacterial small subunit ribosomal RNA", at positions 28 to 507 of the family's 1533-position model. The record is from RNAcentral.
GACGAACGCUGGCGGCGUGCCUAAUACAUGCAAGUUGAGCGAUGAAGAUUGGUGCUUGCACCAAUUUGAAGAGCAGCGAACGGGUGAGUAACGCGUGGGGAAUCUGCCUUUGAGCGGGGGACAACAUUUGGAAACGAAUGCUAAUACCGCAUAAUAACUUUAAACAUAAGUUUUAAGUUUGAAAGAUGCAAUUGCAUCACUCAAAGAUGAUCCCGCGUUGUAUUAGCUAGUUGGUGAGGUAAAGGCUCACCAAGGCGAUGAUACAUAGCCGACCUGAGAGGGUGAUCGGCCACAUUGGGACUGAGACACGGCCCAAACUCCUACGGGAGGCAGCAGUAGGGAAUCUUCGGCAAUGGACGAAAGUCUGACCGAGCAACGCCGCGUGAGUGAAGAAGGCUUUCGGAUCGUAAAACUCUGUUGGUAGAGAAGAACGUUGGUGAGAGUGGAAAGCUCAUCAAGUGACGGUAACUACCCAGAAAGGGACGGCUAACUACGUG